AAUAAAACAACAGACUUUAGCAAUUAAAGGAGAUAAACAAAGAAAAGCAAAGAGUGAUUUUGCUGAAGUCGAAUCAAUCAAUUGCAAAUCUUUAUAGCUCCCGAGGGAUUAACAAUUAUGAUAGAAGCACGUGUGUGUGUGUGUGUGUGUGUGUGUGUGUAAAACAGAAAUUCAACUUAGAAGAAAAAGAAACAUAGUCUUCGAUUUUGCAGAUUUUGCUUGAUGAUUUGGGUAACGAAG
RNAcentral lists this long non-coding RNA (240 nucleotides) under Citrus sinensis (sweet orange). RNAcentral describes it as "long non-coding RNA (CSIN_LNC000135)". Lineage: Eukaryota; Viridiplantae; Streptophyta; Magnoliopsida; Sapindales; Rutaceae. The record is from RNAcentral.